This 253-nucleotide unclassified non-coding RNA is filed under the name uncultured Anaerolineae bacterium. RNAcentral's name for it is "contains 16S-23S intergenic spacer region". It matches the Rfam family "Bacterial small subunit ribosomal RNA", at positions 524 to 776 of the family's 1533-position model. The record is from RNAcentral. Lineage: Bacteria; Bacillati; Chloroflexota; Anaerolineae.
AACGUAGGAGGCGAGCGUUAUCCGGAUUUACUGGGCGUAAAGCGCGUGCAGGCGGUUUUCUAAGUCGGACGUGAAAGCUCCCGGCUCAACUGGGAGAGGUCGUUCGAAACUAGGAGGCUUGAGGGUGGUAGAGGAGAGUGGAAUUCCCGGUGUAGUGGUGAAAUGCGUAGAUAUCGGGAGGAACACCAGUGGCGAAGGCGGCUCUCUGGGCCAUUCCUGACGCUAAGACGCGAAAGCUAGGGGAGAGAACGGG